GAUAUUUCCAUUAGGCUUGGGCAGCGUGAUGAAUUACACUUCUCCACCAGAGGAUUUUUCUAUCUCAAUAUCCAUGAUUACAUGUUUAUAAGUAGAGCCUCCUGUCUCUUAAGAGCUUUGCAAAUAGUCUGUGAAGCCCUCCUCAUGUUCCUUUUAGAGAGGAGUAGUGUUGGGAAGCUGUGCUGACAUAGGGGAAGGAGCAUAGGCUUGGGAGCUGGACCUGGGGUCUCCAGUUCUGCCACAUGUGUCCUUUGGGAUCUUUGCCAGAUUAUGUAUCUUCUCUGUGUUGUGAGUUCUUUCUCUGGCAAACAGGUCAUAGUAUCUACCUUUGCAGGGUUUGUCAAUGGAAUGAGAAAUGUGCAGUGUAUACUUGGCUUACAGAUUGGUGUUAAGGUUGCAAAGACUCAAGUGAGCUGGGCCAUUUCCAUAACAUUACACCAUCACUAACAAAUGCAAAUAUAGGAGAUAUUGUUGUGAUAAGCAUUAUGUCCAGCCAUGAAAAGCAAUAUUAUUUGAUGAAUGAAAAUGUUCUUUUUUAAAAAAAUUUCUCUUUUCAACUCUUGCUUCUUGAUUGUCCCAUCCUUGAUCAAAGACAUUUUGACUCCUGAGUUUUUUGUUUGUAAACAAAGAAACAAACAAAAAUAAGUCCAAAAAAUAUAAACAAUAUAUGUCAUAUUCCAGUAUCUUCCUUAUGUGCACUUCUUGUUUGCCACUUCUGUGAAUGUCUGUCUAGGCUGCAUCACUGUCUUGAAUAUCUCACCACUUUGCCUGGCUUUGCUUACCGGUCUCACCAAAGUUCUCUCAUGCCCACCCAGUCCCUCCUCCAAAUCAUCACUCUCAUCAGUGCCUGGCUUAAUGACUUAAUUUCUUCUUAACCUCGAACGACUAAAAGAAAUGGUCCUACACUUUACUGAAUUGUCCUGUGUAGGCACACUCUAAAUCCUGGCCUUGUCACUGAGUGACUAGCAGAAAGAUGGUACUGUUGACAGAAACAGUAAGGUCAAAAGAGGAGCUGACGGGAGGAAAAAGAUAAGUGUAAUUUACAGUACAAUUAGUCUAAGCAGAGGUGACAUUCAUGGUUAGAGAUAAGGGACUAGAACUCUAGCUUGGAAAUCUCUGUUUUUGGUAAUACUAGGAGAUAAAGUUAAUUCCUUAGGUGUUCCUUCAUUCUUUAAAUGUUUAGUAAGUGUAUGCUGUUGCUAGGCACCUGGCUAAGCAGUGGGAGCAGAAAAGGGAGUGAUUUGGAAUUCUUUAAGGCAUUUACUCUCUGGAGUAAUAAAUAGGUGUGAUAUAUCUGUGUACAUAGAUCUACUUACUUUUCCAGAGCAUGAUUGCUUCAAUUUAAUAUCCAGAAUGUGAAAUGUGAUCAUUAAAUCUAGAAAGAAGGAUGGAAGCUGGGAGAUCAACAUUCUGAAAUGUAUUAGCUGGAUGAUGAAGGCACCUAGUCUGAGCCUCUUGUUUUCUCAUUUGCAAACUAAGGCUGUUAUUCAAAAUUAACUGUAUUCGGCUGAUCUCUUUUCAAUUCAAGUGGUUCUGCAAAGAUUCCAGAAACACUUGACUUUAAAUGCUUUUGAAAGAUGUAAUAAAGAUAAUAUGUACACUUAAAUGUAUUAUAUACUUAGAAUUUGCCUCAUUGGGAGAACCUCACUGUUCUUGACCCAAGCUUAUUAAUUGAAAAUUAAAGGUUACUAAUUUUACUUAGAUGCAUAGCUAAAAAAAAAGUACAUGCAGGUUAUUAAAAUAUUUUUUUUCUGUUUACUUAUUGUGUUUCAUGCAAUAUUUUCUUGUCCAACGGGUUCAGUUUUUAAAGAAGUUUCCAUCACUAGUUCACACCUCAAUACCCACUGCAAGAGUUCUAAGAAACUAGGACUCUUAUGACUCAUAUAAUAAAGGUGAUUUUUAUCUGAAUUCAUCAGAAUGGAUGGUUCUUUUUGAUUUAACAGCUGAUUGAGAUGUAAUUCAUAACAUGCAAUUCAUCCAUUUUAAAUGAACAAUUCAGUGGUUUUUUAGUGUAUUCACAGAUUUAUGCAACUAUCAUCACAGUCAAUUUUAGAAAAUUUUCACCAUGCCCAGAAGAAACCCUGUACCUCUUAAUAAGACCCCCUAAAGACCCCACUCCCCAGCCCAUUUUCAGCCCCAGGCAACUACUUACCUACUUUUUGUCCCUGUAAACUUGCCUAUUCUGGACAUUUCAUGUAAAUUGAACCAUGCAAUAAGUGAUCCUUUGUGACGGGCUUCUUUUACUUAGCAUAAUAUUCUCAAAUUCAUUUAUAUUGUAGCAAGUAUCAGGACUUCAUUUAUAUUUGUUGCUAAAUAAUAUUUCAUUUUAUUGGAAUUGCCAGGUUAUAUGUUAACUCUAGUUUAACCAUCUACGCAACUGCCAGGCUGUUUUCCAUAGCUGUGACACCACUUUGCAUUCCUAUCAACAGUGCAUAAGGAAUCUAGUUUUUCCACAUCCUCACAAAGGCUUGUUAUUUUCUGAAUUCUUGAUGAUAAUUAUCCUAGUGGAUAUGAAGUGGUAUGGUUUUGAUUUGCAUUUCCUUGAAGGUUUUGAUUUGCAUUUUCCUCAAGGUAGAAUGGAUAGUUCUUGGGGGGGAAAAAAGUCAGAGUGACAAAGAUGCAACUGAGAGAAAGUACAGAGAGAGAAAAGAAUAUCAGGGAUGGAGACAGAGUCAGAGUUGCUUUGAGAAGUGGCCAAGACAUUGGGCCUGGCCAUGCCAGUUAUUCUGGGUUAUGGCCAUGGCACAAGCCUUCAGGGUCCUUCAGGGAAAGGCAGGGCUGUGUUUGUGUGUGGCUCAUCUUCACAUACGAUAUUGCCAGCAUACAUUUGCAUCUUCAAUUUAAUCAGAAAGAUUUGGAUGUGUUUACUCCUCCUACCCACCAACUUCCCAACUCAGAGCACUCACCCCUGCUAUUCUGUCACUGAUUUUGCAUUUCCCUUCCCUUCUCCUAUUUUUUCCAUCCAUCCCCAUCCUAUCCUUAAUACAAGGAUUAACAUCUAGCCCAUCUGCUCAUCACAAGCUCUCCUGACCUUUCGGACAACACCGUAGUUCCUUUUUAACCCUUGUGCUGCACUUAGGAGGUUUGCACUGCUCAGCUUCACAUGUAAGGAUAAAAUUGUCUUGCACUGUUUGCAUUACUUUAUGUGAGUUUUCAAGUAUCCCAGUGUGUUCCUUAAAGGGAAGGAAUAGGCUUAUGCUAUUCAAUAUUGCCUAUAAACCCCAGAAACAGGGGUGCUUAAGUAAUAAUAUAGAUGCCCAGUGUACCUAGCAUUUAGUGGGUUGAAGUGUCAUUCUUCCACUUCCAUCUAAACUCUUCUUAGAAUGUCAUGAAUGUAGACAGAUUCUUGCUAGCCUUGGUAAAAAAAAUUUUUUUCACAGAAAUUCGUUCAUACAACCCAAGGGGAAGAGUUUAUUUUAUAUUUUCAGAUAAAAAAAUAUUUAUUUCCAGGUCAGAUUACAUUUACAGUUCUUAAUUUUCUUUAGGGAAUUGCUCAUUCAUAAAGGAUCUGGGAAUGCCAUCAGCGCUUGUUAUAUUUGGGGGGCUUGUUCUGUGUAUGAAAUUAUUUUUGAAACUUCUGUCUGUGUGUUGUCAAAAUCAGGUGGAUAGUAGUGACUGAAGGUGACGUUUCCCUCCAAAUGUUAGAACCCCAGGGCUAUGGCAAUGACGCAUUUCAGUUUAGAGAUUCUACCAUUGAGUUGUCCCCAAGGUUAGUCUUUUGGUACAUUGUACUCCACUUUUGUCCUUGAGUUCUCACUCCGAAAUCAGAGAUGGGCAAAGUCAAGCAAACAAGGCAAAGGUUAAUACAGGCAGGCUAAUAGGAAGCAGAUGGGAGUCGUCAGCCUGAAGCGAGGUCCCGCAAGAAGCCUUCCCUCAGAGACCCAAGGAGACUUGAACUGGAAAUUUGACCAGGAAAGGACUCCCCAAGUGACCUCGUUUCAGAGAUCUUCAGCUGAAAGGGUGGCAGAGUUCAGAGAAAGGUGAUAGGUGAUAGAAGGGUAGAGAAAGCACAAUUACCUAUGGGUUGCCUCAAACCCUCAAAUGUAUAAUAGAGCAAAUAAAGCAAAUAUGAAUGAUUUCAUGAACCUAUAUAGAUCAGUGUACAACUGGAAAGGUGACCUGAAAAGGACUACUGCAAUUCUUCACAAAAAAUAAACAAAAAAAUUCUGCGCUGGUUGAAUCCCAAUUUUAAAACUUUGCUGAAGAUUAGGGAACAAAUUUCUGAGUAACUGGAAUAUUGGAUAAAGUAAUUAUUUAGGUUUUGUUGUGACAUAGUGGAGCUUAUUGUAAAUGGUAAGCAAAUUGUAUAGUAUAGAUUUCCCUGAUUCUGAGAGCGUAUUGGGACCGUAUGUUACUGUGCCUCCCAUUUUAGGGUUAAUUUUUCAGCAGUUGCUUAGACUGCCCCUGGAAGUGGUAACUUUGGAAGGACUGACUACAAAGUGGAACCAGAGUAUGGAGGGUUGCUGGGUGGCAAGCAAGAGGGGACAACAUUUAUUGAACACCUCUUAUAUUGUGGCCAUUGUGCUGGACAGUAAUAAACAUUUCCUUUCUCACUCUUUUUCAUUGUCCCUGUGCCUUUUCUUUUAACCUGUGCUUUAAAUAUAGGAAACAGAGACCCAAGGAAGUUAAGGAACUUGACCUAGUCAUACAUCAGGUAAAUAGUAGAAACACAGGAAGAGGGUCAUUUUAAUUCCAUAGCACACUUUUUUUUUUUUUUUUUUUUUGGUAUGCUUUAAAAGAAGGUGCCUUGUAAAAGUGCCACAUAAUGCUUUUACUC
Molecule: long non-coding RNA, 4777 nt
Filed under: Sus scrofa (pig)
Lineage: Eukaryota; Metazoa; Chordata; Mammalia; Artiodactyla; Suidae
Description: lncRNA (ENSSSCG00040021644.1)
Source: RNAcentral